Long non-coding RNA from Rattus norvegicus (Norway rat), 474 nucleotides. RefSeq lists it as uncharacterized. NCBI's taxonomy places the organism in Eukaryota, Metazoa, Chordata, Mammalia, Rodentia, Muridae. The record is from RefSeq and is a predicted model, not a curated record.
UGAAUGCCAGGUUUUCUGAAGAAACACCCCAGCUUGUCCAGAAGGCUUAUUACUCCAGUUCCCUAGAUUCCACCUCCCUCUGGCUGGCUACCUUCUUGGCCAAGUUCUUCCACCCACCAGCCUUUCCCCUGGUUCCUGCUGUCAUCAACCUUUUGAUUAUAUCAGGGCUCAGCUUAAACGUCUUAUCUUAUUCCCAGGUGUUUACCUAUCACACUGUCUUCUGUAUUGACACUGCAUCUAUUUCCUCUAUGACUUUAUCUCCAGCCUUCAGCACAGCACCUGCUAAAAGGAAAGCACCCGAUGAAGAACGUGCAUGUUGAGUGGAGGGGCUCCUGUGUGGAAGUCCGAUGACGUCACAUGGGAGUCAGUUCUCUUCUGCGACAAUGUGGAUCUGCCUUACCUUUCCUGUACAUCCAAGUCCAACGGCAUGAGUUUCUGUAUUAUUGGCUAUUGUUAUAAUAAACUGUCUCUCAA